Molecule: unclassified non-coding RNA, 299 nt
Filed under: Hevea brasiliensis (rubber tree)
Lineage: Eukaryota; Viridiplantae; Streptophyta; Magnoliopsida; Malpighiales; Euphorbiaceae
Source: RNAcentral
UGCACAGUAGAGUCGGACAACUUAGGCGAACAAAUCGAUGUCUUUCAUCCAAUUAUCAACUGGGUUUUUGUCCUUUUAUCUGAUCCUGCUCUUAUUCUCAUCAUGACAUUAAUGGCUGUGGUCCUCUCCUCUGUUUCAGUUUCAGUCUCAGUUUUCCUUUAUUUUUUUUAACCGCGAUUUCUGAUCCUUGUUUCUAUGCGUUGAUGUCUGCAUCUCAGUCUGAUAGAGAGAUAUCCAAAUUUGGUGGCAGAGUAGAUCACCACCACUACGACGAUGACGAUGAUGAUGAUGAAGAAGAA